GAAUAUUGGGCAAUGGGCGCAAGCCUGACCCAGCAACGCCGCGUGAGGGAAGAAGGCUUUCGGGUUGUAAACCUCUGUCCUUAGGGACGAAAAAAAUGACGGUACCUAAGGAGGAAGCUCCGGCUAACUACGUGCCAGCAGCCGCGGUAAUACGUAGGGAGCAAGCGUUGUCCGGAAUUACUGGGCGUAAAGGGUGCGUAGGUGGCCAUGCAAGUCAGAUGUGAAAUCCCCGGGCUUAACUCGGGUGCUGCAUUUGAAACUGCGUGGCUUGAGUGCAGGAGAGGAAAGCGGAAUUCCUAGUGUAGCGGUGAAAUGCGUAGAUAUUAGGAGGAACACCAGUGGCGAAGGCGGCUUUCUGGACUGUAACUGACACUGAGGCACGAAAGCGUGGGGAGCGAACA
RNAcentral lists this ribosomal RNA (401 nucleotides) under uncultured bacterium. Its description in RNAcentral is "bacterial SSU rRNA". It matches the Rfam family "Bacterial small subunit ribosomal RNA", at positions 359 to 774 of the family's 1533-position model. The record is from RNAcentral.